Molecule: transfer RNA, 86 nt
Filed under: Operophtera brumata (winter moth)
Lineage: Eukaryota; Metazoa; Arthropoda; Insecta; Lepidoptera; Geometridae
Rfam family: tRNA
About the family: Transfer RNA (tRNA) molecules are approximately 80 nucleotides in length. Their secondary structure includes four short double-helical elements and three loops (D, anti-codon, and T loops).
Source: Rfam by way of RNAcentral
CCUUCGAUAGCUCAGUUGGUAGAGCGGUGGACUGUAGAGGAAUCACUGAUAUCCAUAGGUCGCUGGUUCAAAUCCGGCUCGAAGGA